GCUCCAGUGGCCUAGUAGUUAGAGCGUCCGCCUAGGAUGCGGUAGGUCGCGGGUUCGAACCCUUGCCGAGUCA
Molecule: non-coding RNA, 73 nt
Organism: Potamilus streckersoni
Lineage: Eukaryota; Metazoa; Mollusca; Bivalvia; Unionida; Unionidae
Source: the annotation of a GenBank genome assembly